This 253-nucleotide ribosomal RNA is filed under the name uncultured bacterium. Its description in RNAcentral is "partial 16S ribosomal RNA". It matches the Rfam family "Bacterial small subunit ribosomal RNA", at positions 524 to 776 of the family's 1533-position model. The record is from RNAcentral.
UACGGGGGGGGCAAGCGUUGUUCGGAAUUACUGGGCGUAAAGGACUCGUAGGCGGCCAACUAAGUCGGACGUGAAAUCCCUCGGCUUAACCGGGGAACUGCGUCCGAUACUGGAUGGCUUGAGUUCGGGAGAGGGAUGCGGAAUUCCAGGUGUAGCGGUGAAAUGCGUAGAUAUCUGGAGGAACACCGGUGGCGAAGGCGGCAUCCUGGACCGACACUGACGCUGAGGAGCGAAAGCCAGGGGAGCAAACGGG